RNAcentral lists this transfer RNA (87 nucleotides) under Chloroflexota bacterium. Its description in RNAcentral is "tRNA-Leu". It matches the Rfam family "tRNA". From Rfam's summary of the family: Transfer RNA (tRNA) molecules are approximately 80 nucleotides in length. Their secondary structure includes four short double-helical elements and three loops (D, anti-codon, and T loops). Lineage: Bacteria; Bacillati; Chloroflexota. The record is from RNAcentral.
GCCGAGGUGGCGGAACCGGUAGACGCGCUACGUUCAGGGCGUAGUAUCCGUACGGAUGUGCGAGUUCGAAUCUCGCCCUCGGCACCA